GUGCCAGCCGCCGCGGUAAUACGGAGGGUGCAAGCGUUGUCCGGAUUUAUUGGGUUUAAAGGGUGCGUAGGCGGAUCUUUAAGUCAGUGGUGAAAGCCUGCAGCUUAACUGUAGAAUUGCCAUUGAUACUGGAGGUCUUGAGUACACUAGAGGUAGGCGGAAUUUAUGGUGUAGCGGUGAAAUGCAUAGAUACCAUAAAGAACACCUAUAGCGUAGGCAGCUUACUGGAGUGUAACUGACGCUGAGGCACGAAAGCAUGGGUAGCGAACAGGAUUAGAAACCCCGGUAGUCC
This 292-nucleotide ribosomal RNA is filed under the name uncultured bacterium. RNAcentral describes it as "partial 16S ribosomal RNA". It matches the Rfam family "Bacterial small subunit ribosomal RNA", at positions 505 to 796 of the family's 1533-position model. The record is from RNAcentral.